Molecule: non-coding RNA, 354 nt
Organism: Bilophila wadsworthia 3_1_6
Lineage: Bacteria; Pseudomonadati; Thermodesulfobacteriota; Desulfovibrionia; Desulfovibrionales; Desulfovibrionaceae
Rfam family: transfer-messenger RNA
About the family: Bacterial tmRNA, also known as 10Sa RNA or SsrA, is named for its dual tRNA and mRNA-like properties. Its role is to liberate the mRNA from a stalled ribosome. To accomplish this part of the tmRNA is used as a reading frame that ends in a translation stop signal.
Source: Rfam
GGGGGCGCAUUGGUUUCGACGGGGAUGUUGAAGCCGAAGUGGCAGGCCGAGGCGCCGCUGGCCUCGUUAAAAGCGGCACCAUAGUAAUUGGCAACGAUUACGAAUACGCUUACGCUGCUUAAUUAAGCGGCACACCGAACCGGCUCACGCCCGAUAAGCUGGCAAGGUGUAAAACUAUCGGGCUGGCGUGGCGUUGUGUUUGCCGGGCGACGCGCGAGACUUUACGGUGAACUGGCCGACGGACGCCCUGAUUGGGGGCCAAGCCUGAGGCGAGAUAUGAUACCCAACCUAAGCCUGUAGAUGCUUCGCGUGAAUCUUUCUCGGACGGGGGUUCGAUUCCCCCCGCCUCCACCA